RNAcentral lists this ribosomal RNA (468 nucleotides) under uncultured bacterium. RNAcentral describes it as "partial 16S ribosomal RNA". It matches the Rfam family "Bacterial small subunit ribosomal RNA", at positions 28 to 507 of the family's 1533-position model. The record is from RNAcentral.
GACGAACGCUGGCGGCGUGCUUAACACAUGCAAGUCGAACGGAAAGGCCCUGCUCUUGUGGGGUGCUCGAGUGGCGAACGGGUGAGUAACACGUGAGUAACCUGCCCUUGACUUUGGGAUAACUUCAGGAAACUGGGGCUAAUACCGGAUAGGAGCUCCUGCUGCAUGGUGGGGGUUGGAAAGUUUCGGCGGUUGGGGAUGGACUCGCGGCUUAUCAGCUUGUUGGUGGGGUAGUGGCUUACCAAGGCUUUGACGGGUAGCCGGCCUGAGAGGGUGACCGGCCACAUUGGGACUGAGAUACGGCCCAGACUCCUACGGGAGGCAGCAGUGGGGAAUAUUGCACAAUGGGCGGAAGCCUGAUGCAGCGACGCCGCGUGCGGGAUGACGGCCUUCGGGUUGUAAACCGCUUUCGCCUGUGACGAAGCGUGAGUGACGGUAAUGGGUAAAGAAGCACCGGCUAACUACGUG